Athene cunicularia (burrowing owl) is the source of this 462-nucleotide long non-coding RNA. RefSeq lists it as uncharacterized. The record is from RefSeq and is a predicted model, not a curated record. NCBI's taxonomy places the organism in Eukaryota, Metazoa, Chordata, Aves, Strigiformes, Strigidae. The transcript is spliced from 3 exons.
UGGGGCAGGCGAGGGUGGCCCUGUUCAGUGGUCAGGGGUGGCGGGGGCAGAGUUCAGGUGACAAGCAGGGGAAUGGGGACAGUUCUGGGGACACAGUUAAGGGGAAUGGGGCAGAGUUAAGGUGACGGGGACACGGGGUUCUGGGGACACACUUAAGGUAACAGCAGACAAAGUUAAGAUGACAGGGACAGAAUUUAAGGUGACGGGACCAAAUAAAAGGGAAUGGGGACACAGAUAAGGGGAAUGCGGGCAGAGACAAGGUGACAGGGGCCACAGUUCCAGUGACCCGAGCACAGGGAGGUGAUUCUGGUGCUUGAGCAAAGGCUGCCCCCAGCAUUUGGGAGACUCUGGGCCCCCCCUCCAGCAGCACAGGGUAACCCCAGCGACUCAGAACCCCCCAUCACACAUCAGGGAAACUGAGGCACGGCCCCAGACACCCUGCAGGGCUCCAGCCCCCAGCCU